RNAcentral lists this ribosomal RNA (253 nucleotides) under uncultured bacterium. RNAcentral's name for it is "partial 16S ribosomal RNA". It matches the Rfam family "Bacterial small subunit ribosomal RNA", at positions 524 to 776 of the family's 1533-position model. The record is from RNAcentral.
UACGUAGGGUGCAAGCGUUAAUCGGAAUUACUGGGCGUAAAGCGUGCGCAGGCGGCUUUGCAAGACAGAUGUGAAAUCCCCGGGCUUAACCUGGGAACUGCAUUUGUGACUGCAUGGCUGGAGUGCGGCAGAGGGGGGUGGAAUUCCGCGUGUAGCAGUGAAAUGCGUAGAGAUGCGGAGGAACACCGAUGGCGAAGGCAGCCCCCUGGGCCAACACUGACGCUCAGGCACGAAAGCGUGGGGAGCAAACAGG